AAAUGAAUUGACGGGGGCCCGCACAAGCGGUGGAGCAUGUGGUUUAAUUCGAUGCAACGCGAAGAACCUUACCUACUCUUGACAUCCAGAGAAGAUUGCAGAGAUGCGAUUGUGCCUUCGGGAACUCUGAGACAGGUGCUGCAUGGCUGUCGUCAGCUCGUGUUGUGAAAUGUUGGGUUAAGUCCCGUAACGAGCGCAACCCCUAUCCUUAUUUGCCAGCACGUAAUGGUGGGAACUCUAAGGAGACUGCCGGUGACAAACCGGAGGAAGGUGGGGACGACGUCAAGUCAUCAUGGCCCUUACGAGUAGGGCUACACACGUGCUACAAUGGUCGGUACAGCUGGUUGCUAACCCGCGAGGGGGCGCUAAUCCAACAAAGCCGAUCGUAGUCCGGAUCGCAGUCUGCAACUCGACUGCGUGAAGUCGGAAUCGCUAGUAAUCGCGGAUCAGAAUGCCGCGGUGAAUACGUUCCCGGGCCUUGUACACACCGCCCGU
RNAcentral lists this ribosomal RNA (495 nucleotides) under uncultured bacterium. RNAcentral describes it as "bacterial SSU rRNA". It matches the Rfam family "Bacterial small subunit ribosomal RNA", at positions 903 to 1397 of the family's 1533-position model. The record is from RNAcentral.